AGACCGUAAAAAUCUGACGCAAAUGGUGCAUAAUGAUAAGGGUAGAACCACUGCCAAGAGCACACUUCAUGGUAGUAGUACCUCAUGACCCAACAAAUCCCUUCUAUAUAUUUUAAAACCACAUGCCUCCGAACUCUCUCUUGCUCAUCUUUGGUCUUGGCCUCAAACUUUUUUGCAUAAUAUCUUUCUUUCCAAUCAUCUUCUCCCAGUUUCAUCUUGUCAGCUAAAAUAUCUGCUUCCUUGGAUAAACGGUGGAUUGAGUCUUCAAAAUUCAUGCCUCCAGAUUCUUCCACUGAAGGUGAAGAUCCAUGACUUGUGGAAUGUGAAUUACGAUCAUUCUGCAGCAAUUUUGCGAGCUUCCUGUUUAAAAAGCGCUGUUUCUUCUCUUUCAUUAUCUGGCUCCUUUUCCUAAAGAUUGCGCCUUCAUAUGAACUCACAGCUUGUAUAAAAUGCUCCACACGUGCCAAAUUUAUCUGAAAAGAAUCUGUCAAGUAACCACCCAUUUUCACAAAUUCCUUCUUGUACACCAUCAUGAGCAAAUCAAUAGCGCCCUCAGAUAUUGCCAGAGUUGGUAAGUGUGGCAGAAAAUCAUUUCCAACAAACAAGCACAUUAAGACAAAAUCAUCAAUCAGCCGCUCCAG
Molecule: unclassified non-coding RNA, 641 nt
Filed under: Hevea brasiliensis (rubber tree)
Lineage: Eukaryota; Viridiplantae; Streptophyta; Magnoliopsida; Malpighiales; Euphorbiaceae
Source: RNAcentral